AUGCCCGGCUCCACCGUGCUGCUGAUCGGCGCCUCCAUGGCUGCGCUCCUCGUCGUCUCCCUCUUCACCUUCCUCUGCUCCAACCGGCGCCAGGCGCACCGCGCAUCACCGUCGCCGUCACAUCAGAGCGUCGUCGACGUGGAGCUCGGCCUGCGGCGGACGUGCGGGGUCGACGAGGCCGUCCUGGCCGCUUACCCGACCACGGUGUACUCCUCGGCGGCUAGUCAACGGGACGAAGGCCAGAUAGCAGCUGCGGGCACCGCGUCGGCCGAUGGUGGCCAGCCGCCGGACGAAAAGCACACAACAUGUGCGGCGUGCCUGGCCGAGUACGCAGAUGGCGACGAGCUCCGGUGGCUGCCCGGGUGCCGGCAUGCGUUCCACCGGCCGUGCCUCGACGAAUGGCUGCGGCGGCGGUCGAGCUGCCGCACGUCGCCGCCACCGCCGCAUGCGGCUAUCGACUCCUGA
Molecule: ribosomal RNA, 465 nt
Filed under: Triticum aestivum (bread wheat)
Lineage: Eukaryota; Viridiplantae; Streptophyta; Magnoliopsida; Poales; Poaceae
Description: partial small subunit ribosomal RNA
Source: RNAcentral